This 253-nucleotide ribosomal RNA is filed under the name uncultured bacterium. RNAcentral describes it as "partial 16S ribosomal RNA". It matches the Rfam family "Bacterial small subunit ribosomal RNA", at positions 524 to 776 of the family's 1533-position model. The record is from RNAcentral.
UACGGAGGAUCCGAGCGUUAUCCGGAUUUAUUGGGUUUAAAGGGAGCGUAGGCGGGUUGUUAAGUCAGCUGUGAAAGUUUGCGGCUCAACCGUAAAAUUGCAGUUGAUACUGGCAUCCUUGAGUACAGUAGAGGUAGGCGGAAUUCGUGGUGUAGCGGUGAAAUGCUUAGAUAUCACGAAGAACUCCGAUUGCGAAGGCAGCCUGCUGGACUGUAACUGACGCUGAUGCUCGAGAGUGUGGGUAUCAAACAGG